CCGCUCAGGACGAACGCUGGCGGCGUGCCUAAUACAUGCAAGUCGAACGCUUCUUUUUCCACCGGAGCUUGCUCCACCGGAAAAAGAGGAGUGGCGAACGGGUGAGUAACACGUGGGUAACCUGCCCAUCAGAAGGGGAUAACACUUGGAAACAGGUGCUAAUACCGUAUAACAAUCGAAACCGCAUGGUUUUGAUUUGAAAGGCGCUUUCGGGUGUCGCUGAUGGAUGGACCCGCGGUGCAUUAGCUAGUUGGUGAGGUAACGGCUCACCAAGGCCACGAUGCAUAGCCGACCUGAGAGGGUGAUCGGCCACAUUGGGACUGAGACACGGCCCAAACUCCUACGGGAGGCAGCAGUAGGGAAUCUUCGGCAAUGGACGAAAGUCUGACCGAGCAACGCCGCGUGAGUGAAGAAGGUUUUCGGAUCGUAAAACUCUGUUGUUAGAGAAGAACAAGGAUGAGAGUAACUGUUCAUCCCUUGACGGUAUCUAACCAGAAAGCCACGGCUAACU
Molecule: ribosomal RNA, 511 nt
Filed under: Enterococcus faecium
Lineage: Bacteria; Bacillati; Bacillota; Bacilli; Lactobacillales; Enterococcaceae
Description: bacterial SSU rRNA
Rfam family: Bacterial small subunit ribosomal RNA
Source: RNAcentral